UUUUGAUUUUUUAUUUCAUCUAUUUUGGUUGAGGUUUGAAUAUAGUGUUCUAGAUUUAGAUCUAUUUCAAUUUUGCAUUAUCGAUUUUAGUGAUUUUGUAUAAAGUUUUUUUCGCUGUUAUAUUUUGAAUUUUAUAUUUCAUCUUUAGUGAUUUAUAUUUUUAUUUAUUUAAAACUUAGUUAUGUAUCUAUUUUCUGGAUUUAAA
RNAcentral lists this long non-coding RNA (205 nucleotides) under Lathyrus oleraceus (garden pea). RNAcentral describes it as "Pisum sativum (pea) long non-coding RNA (PSAT_LNC024087)". Lineage: Eukaryota; Viridiplantae; Streptophyta; Magnoliopsida; Fabales; Fabaceae. The record is from RNAcentral.